GUGCAAUGAAUCUAGAAUAUAAGAAAGUUUGCUUUUUUGAAUUAAAUUACAAAAAAUAAGUAGCUUUUGUGAGAAUGACACAAAACACUGCUGAGAAUUUGGGAUAAACCCAGCUAACAAAAAUAUGUUCUAAGAACUUUUUGUUAAGAUUCUUAAUAAGUUAUUAAAUCGUUAUUUCUGAAUAUUCAACACAUGCAGUUUUAUUAUUAUUAUUAUUAUUAUUAUUAUUUUAAUUUGAAUUAAAAAUGUGUUAUUUUUUCUUGGUUAUGCAAAUAUUAAGGGAACCUUCCACAUCCAACUAAAAUGUAUCAAGUAAAAAGGUUACAUGAGCGAUACAUAUAUUUUCGUAAAUAACAUUUUGAGAAAAUUAAUAAAGACCAUAUAACUUUGAAUAAACAUUAUAUUAAUUUUAUUGGAAGAAUGUUGCCAAACGUUCUGACAAUGUUCACCGUUCACUUGUAUUGUCAAAUACACAGUGCAAAAAAAAAUCGAAUGGUCCUAAAAGAUAUAUAAGUAAAGUAUGCUAAAUUAAAUGAAACUAAAUAUGAUAUAUUAUAAUAUAACACAAUAUAAUAUCGUAUCAUAUAAAAAAGUGAAUGUUUGCAAACACUGGUGUGUGAUGCUUUUUCGCUGAAACCCAGAAUAAGUUUCUGAUUAUCUUACAGAGCUGCAAAAACAGACACCAUACUGCGCUGCGGUCACCUUUAUCCAAGGCUUCCUGUUAAUUCAGUUAGUUAUUCACACAGUUAACUGACCAGCACUUUGUGAACAUUAUAUUACUGUUGAAUGUUGCUACAGUACAGUACAGUAGGCCCAUUCAGUUUGUUUGAAUAAAACUAGUGAGAACGAUCCUGUUUUGUGUGCUGUUCUCUUUCAACCCAGGAGCUCUCAGUCUGGUGAAAGCAAACCCAUGAUUUGGGACAGGGCCAAUCCAAGAGUUCUCAAAGCUUCAGAGCCCCACUGGAGAGAAACUACAGUCCAGAGCAACCGUGGGAACAUGCAAAACUCAGGUGGUGAAGGUCAGAGAGGGACGCUACAAACACGUGGAGUGCUAUACCUGCAGGGACUGUGCUUUUAGUCUCAUGGAGUGAGGACAUUUCUGUGUGGAUGAGGAGCUGUACACACCAGACAGCCAAUGGCCUCCACUUACCCCUGAACACUUGAACUCAGUGCCAUGUUUUAGUAUGUUCAUUAUUAAGUAUGUUUUCAGCAGUUUUAUUUUACUAUCUUUGAGCUAUAUUGAAGUUUUUUUUGUUUUUUAUUUAAAUAUUUUCCAUUCUAAUUUUUUGAUUUAUUUAGUCAUUUUAUUGUGUAUUUUUGUAACGUUUUUGUAUUUUCUGUAUUCUAUAUAUGUCUACAUAGUUUUUUAUUAAAUUUCAGUUUUAGUUAUAUUAGUACACAAAGUUAAACAAAAUUAAAAUGGGAAACUUGCCUUGCAAACUAGCUGAAUUUUAUUUCAGUUAAUGUUUAUUUUAUUUCAAGUAUCACAUUUUUUUUAUGUUAUAACUAAAAUAGCAAGUAUAUUUCAUGGUCAUGUUUUUUAAUGAUGCUCAUAAAAAUGCAAUUGCUCCAAAACUUUUACGAUAGUUGCAAACAUAUAUUUCACGUAAAAAUUUUACUCUAUGCAAUACAAAA
Molecule: long non-coding RNA, 1635 nt
Organism: Cyprinus carpio carpio
Lineage: Eukaryota; Metazoa; Chordata; Actinopteri; Cypriniformes; Cyprinidae
Source: Ensembl